This 413-nucleotide ribosomal RNA is filed under the name uncultured Glomeromycotina. RNAcentral's name for it is "SSU rRNA". It matches the Rfam family "Eukaryotic small subunit ribosomal RNA", at positions 569 to 988 of the family's 1831-position model. The record is from RNAcentral. Lineage: Eukaryota; Fungi; Glomeromycota.
AGCAGCCGCGGUAAUUCCAGCUCCAAUAGCGUAUAUUAAAGUUGUUGCAGUUAAAAAGCUCGUAGUUGAAUUUCGGGAUCAAUAUGUUGGUCGUGCCUUGGUACGUACUAAUUUAUUGGUUUCUUCCUUCUGACGAACCACGAUGUCAUUAAUUUGGUGUCUUGGGGAAUCAGGACUGUUACUUUGAAAAAAUUAGAGUGUUUAAAGCAGGCUCACGCUUGAAUACAUUAGCAUGGAAUAAUGAAAUAGGAUGUUUGAUUCUAUUUUGUUGGUUUCUAGGAUCGACGUAAUGAUUAAUAGGGAUAGUUGGGGGCAUUAGUAUUCAAUUGUCAGAGGUGAAAUUCUUGGAUUUAUUGAAGACUAACUACUGCGAAAGCAUUUGCCAAGGAUGUUUUCAUUAAUCAAGAACGAAA